Lagenorhynchus albirostris (white-beaked dolphin) is the source of this 107-nucleotide small nuclear RNA. NCBI's taxonomy places the organism in Eukaryota, Metazoa, Chordata, Mammalia, Artiodactyla, Delphinidae. The record is from RefSeq and is a predicted model, not a curated record.
GUGCUCACUUCAGCAGCACAUAUACUAAAAUUGGAACGACACAGAGAAGAUCAGCGUGGACCCCGUACAAGGAUGACAUGGAAAUUUGUGAAGCGUUCCAUAUUAAA